GUUAGGAAUAUUGGACAAUGGGCGCAAGCCUGAUCCAGCCAUGCCGCGUGAACGAUGAAGGCCUUCGGGUUGUAAAGUUCUUUAGCCGAUGAUUAUAAUGACUGUAGUCGGAAAAUAAGCCCCGGCUAACUUCGUGCCAGCAGCCGCGGUAAUACGAAGGGGGCGAGCGUUAUUCGGAAUCACUGGGCGUAAAGCGUGCGUAGGCGGUUUUGUAAGUUAGGAGUGAAAGCCCAGGGCUCAACCUUGGAAUUGCUCUUAAAACUGCAAGGCUCGAAUCUCGGAGAGGAUAGCGGAAUUUCCAGUGUAGCAGUGAAAUGCGUAGAUAUUGGAAGGAACACCAGUGGCGUAAGCGGCUAUCUGGACGAGUAUUGACGCUGAGGCACGAAAGCGUGGGGAUCAAACAGGAUUAGAUACCCCUGUAGUCC
RNAcentral lists this ribosomal RNA (425 nucleotides) under uncultured bacterium. RNAcentral describes it as "partial 16S ribosomal RNA". It matches the Rfam family "Bacterial small subunit ribosomal RNA", at positions 354 to 796 of the family's 1533-position model. The record is from RNAcentral.